RNAcentral lists this non-coding RNA (218 nucleotides) under Oceanobacillus oncorhynchi. RNAcentral describes it as "T-box sequence". It matches the Rfam family "T-box leader". Rfam says of the family: Uncharged tRNA acts as the effector for transcription antitermination of genes in the T-box leader family. The record is from RNAcentral. Lineage: Bacteria; Bacillati; Bacillota; Bacilli; Caryophanales; Bacillaceae.
UUUAAAUCGUUGAAGAGGUAAAGUAAAAAUGAAUUUCUUACACAGAGAGAGUCACAGUUGCUGCGAGUGACUUUAAGAUUUCUUUUUGAAGUGCGCCUCAGAGUCUAUUGUGGAACAUAAAGUACAUGGUAGCGGUUCUCUGCCGUUAACAGAGCAAAGGGGAGAAAGAUAUUUUUUUCUCUAAACAGAGUGGAACCGCGCUAAAAAGCGUCUCUGUG